Arabidopsis lyrata subsp. lyrata is the source of this 2532-nucleotide long non-coding RNA. RefSeq lists it as uncharacterized. NCBI's taxonomy places the organism in Eukaryota, Viridiplantae, Streptophyta, Magnoliopsida, Brassicales, Brassicaceae. The transcript has 2 exons. The record is from RefSeq and is a predicted model, not a curated record.
GUUUUACUUGAUCAAUGCGUGUUCUCAAUUUGCGUAUAAGAUUAAUAUGGAGUAUUGAUGAUCAUUGACUAUUGAGACCAAGAGUCAAGGUUUGCGGUUGGGUAAUUAAUGAUAUGAUUUAUGAAUUUUAUUAAACCAUAACCUGCAAUUAAUGAUUUGACCUCUGUUAGAAGCAAUGUAGUUGCGGGAUUCAUUUUAUGCAUCUACAUUUGUUUGUUUGCAUGUACAGUUGUUUUAGCCGAUACAAAAAUAUGUCGAAUUAAUUACUUGCCAUCCCUCAGAUGUCAUGUGCUUCAAAGUUUUGAUAAGGACCAAUCAUGCAUAUAUCUAUAUAUCAAUAUUGCACAAAAGAAGAUAAAUUAAAUCUUUAUGUAGUUAUAUCAGAAGUAGAAUUGUUUGAUGAGGCCACCCUCUUGUCUGGUAGGUAGUCCUUGAAUUACGAAAUAUGGCGUGAGCGCAUUGACUUCGUUCAUCAAAUCUAUCAAGAACUAAAGCAGAAAUCUGUAAUAAGGCCAUUGAUCUCCUUGUACGUAACAUGGGAUCAUCACUCGUGCAUCAUCGAGUACCAUUACUAGCUAGCUUCAAAUUUUUUGCAAACUUGGUUUCACGGACAACACAUUCAUGAUGCACACACUUAGGGUAGUCUCACUACUCUUUACUUGUCCAUCUACUUGGACAUUUGUAGAAGUAGUGGUUCAAAUUGUUUAUUGAUCUCUUUGUAAAGGCCAUUCAUUUUUGACCGCAAACAAUGUAUCCAUUUAAUUUUUUCAUAAAUCAAAAACCGUGAAAGAAAUGGUUGAUGCAUACAAAAGCAUAAUGAUACGAUAAAGACAGGCAUGUUUUAUCCUUAAACAACAUCUAGUUAAUGUAUGUGUUAGUGACAAAACAUUACCUGCUUAUAUCUACCAACUAUAUAAGUCGAACCUUACAUUGUUGUUAGGUAAUGUCUACUACUAGUACGUUAAUUAGAUCUUUUAAUAAGAACAAAUCAUAGAGUCUCUAUCGUAUCAUAAUGGUUAAAUAACCUGCAUUUUUAUCAGAAAAGAGAUGUUCAACUUCUACCUGUACUAUUUACAUUAUUGUUGGACUGCCCCGCCUAAAUUCAUUUCUCAUAAAUUGAAACCCAUGAUUUCGUGCAUGAAGAAAUCUAUCCAAACUUUUGACAGUCACUUCAAUAAUUGAGUAAUAUUUUUUCCUAAGUUUUAGCAAUUCGUUGGUCUUCUGUAUUUAUUCGAGUAACGAUAUAAUUACAGUUUUUUUUUUUUUUUGACGGAAGCUUGUAUAACAUGUAUUUAUAAUUAUUAUUUUAGAUCUUAAAAAAAAACAUAUAAUUAUUAUUUUUUUACAUCAAUUAAACGUCAAAAUUUGGUGAUUUUUAAUGAUAUUUUCUCUUUAAUUUUCACAGAAUCCAAUCUUGUAAUUCUCAUGCAAAUCUUAUACCAAAGUUACCCAAAAUCUUUCUUUCCUAUUUUGUCACAUGUUUUUAAUAUGAACCUUUUUUUUCAAAAAUCUUUACAGAUUCACUGACAAUGGCUGAUGAUGGCCGAGAAGGUGACGGCGACACCGCCGCCAGUGAAAUCGCUAUCCACCGCGAAAUCAAACAAGGCGGCGAUUGAAUCGAUUUCAUCAGCUCUCAACCAGACGUGAUCCUCCAACACAUCCUCUCCUUUAUUCCAACCAAAUCCGUCUUAUCCAAACGAUGGAAGCAUAUCUGUCUACUUCGAUUCCUUCACACCGACAUUGAUAAGCCAAACCAGAUUGUGGCGCCAUAUCUCCAUUGUUUGGUUUAGUUGAUGUCUCCUCUUUAUCCGAAGCAAAAUUGAAAAUUUGGUUUGGCGGAGCUGAACAAUUGAAGGCAGGUUUUCUUCAACACAUGGUGCUAAAGUUGCAGAACGUUGGGAAACUUACUAUUGGGGAAGUCUUUCUUCACCCAUUCUUGCAUUAUCUUAAGCUUAGACAGAACUCGCUAUAUUGCAGUGUCACUUGAGAUUAUGGUUGAUGGACAAGUUUUAUCGUUUUAGGAGCUCUUAGAUCAGUGAUUCACCAAUCUGUUCUUCCUGGUAUAACAAGGAGAAGGAUCUUGACAGCUACUUGAAUUCGCCAGGCUUGAAUGCUGAUCAAUGUUGGAGAUCAAAUGACGUGAUCUUUUUAGGUGUUUCGGGAAAAGACGCAAUGCCAAAGCUCAUGCCUUUGUUUGUGGAAUUUGUGCUCAAAGAUACUGGAGACACGUAGGAAGUGAGCUUAAUGCAUGAAACAAGGUUUAAAGAACUGCAUCAGGUGGCUUCAACACUUUCUCGCAGCAAUAAUGUGAUUAAAAUUAAGUUAAUUCUAUGCUUCAUAGGGGGUUUAGCGAGUCUAGGAACACGUGGAAUGUGUUUACAAUGAAUGUCACUGACAUAACCUCUUGGGGAAGUUGUAUAGAUUCAAUUUCUGUAAGGAAUUGGUCAAUUAUAGCCAUUGCUUGAAGUGCUUUUGUAUAUAUGAAUUGCUCAUGUGUUUCCUAUGGUUUUCGUGAAUUAGUCUUAACUAAUA